RNAcentral lists this ribosomal RNA (362 nucleotides) under uncultured bacterium. RNAcentral describes it as "partial 16S ribosomal RNA". It matches the Rfam family "Bacterial small subunit ribosomal RNA", at positions 338 to 697 of the family's 1533-position model. The record is from RNAcentral.
CCUACGGGAGGCAGCAGUGAGGAAUAUUGGUCAAUGGUCGGGAGACUGAACCAGCCAAGCCGCGUGAGGGAGGAAGGUACAGAGUAUCGUAAACCUCUUUUGUCAGGGAACAAAGACUGGGACGCGUCCCCGGAUGCGUGUCCCUUAAGAAAAAGCAUGGGCUAACUCCGUGCCAGCAGCCGCGGUAAUACGGAGGAUGCGCGCGUUAUCCGGAUUUAUUGGGUGUAAAGGGUGCGGAGGCGGGCCUGUAAGUAAGGCGGCAAAUCCCGGGGCUUAAACCCGGGCCUGCGGUUGAUACGGGCAGUCUCGAGUUGGAGAGAGGUAUGCGGAAUGCGCGGUGUAGCGGUGAAAUGCAUAGAUAU